UACGUAGGGUGCGAGCGUUGUCCGGAAUUAUUGGGCGUAAAGGGCUCGUAGGCGGUUUGUCGCGUCGGGAGUGAAAACUCAGGGCUUAACCCUGAGCCUGCUUCCGAUACGGGCAGGCUAGAGGUAGGUAGGGGAGAAUGGAAUUCCCGGUGUAGCGGUGAAAUGCGCAGAUAUCGGGAGGAACACCGGUGGCGAAGGCGGUUCUCUGGGCCUUACCUGACGCUGAGGAGCGAAAGCGUGGGGAGCGAACAGG
RNAcentral lists this ribosomal RNA (253 nucleotides) under uncultured bacterium. RNAcentral describes it as "partial 16S ribosomal RNA". It matches the Rfam family "Bacterial small subunit ribosomal RNA", at positions 524 to 776 of the family's 1533-position model. The record is from RNAcentral.